GACAGAGGGUGCAAGCGUUGUUCGGAAUUACUGGGCGUAAAGCGUGUGUAGGCGGCCAUAUAAGUCGGAUGUGAAAGCCCUGGGCUCAACCCAGGAAGUGCACUCGAUACUGUAUGGCUUGAGUACUGGAGAGGUUGGUGGAAUUCUCGGUGUAGAGGUGAAAUUCGUAGAUAUCGAGAGGAACACCGGUGGCGAAGGCGGCCAACUGGACAGAUACUGACGCUGAGGCACGAAAGCGUGGGGAGCAAACAGG
Molecule: ribosomal RNA, 253 nt
Filed under: uncultured bacterium
Lineage: Bacteria
Description: partial 16S ribosomal RNA
Rfam family: Bacterial small subunit ribosomal RNA
Source: RNAcentral